GAUGAACGCUGGCGGCGUGCCUAAUACAUGCAAGUCGAGCGAACAGACGAGGAGCUUGCUCCUUUGACGUUAGCGGCGGACGGGUGAGUAACACGUGGGUAACCUACCUAUAAGACUGGGAUAACUUCGGGAAACCGGAGCUAAUACCGGAUAAUAUUUCGAACCGCAUGGUUCGAUAGUGAAAGAUGGCUUUGCUAUCACUUAUAGAUGGACCUGCGCCGUAUUAGAUAGUUGUUAAGGUAACGGCUUAGCAAGGCAACGAUACGUAGCCGACCUGAGAGGGUGAUAGGCCACACUGGAACUUGGACACGGUCCAGGCUACUACGGGAGGCAGCAGUAGGGAAUCGUCCGCAAUAGGCGAAAGCCUGACAGAGCAACGCGGCGUGAGUGAUGAAGGUGUUCGGAUCGUAAAACUGUGUUAUUAGGGAAGAACAAACUUGUAAGUAAAUGUGCACGUCUUGACGGUACCUAAUCAGAAAGCAACGGCUAACUACGUG
Molecule: ribosomal RNA, 497 nt
Filed under: uncultured bacterium
Lineage: Bacteria
Description: partial 16S ribosomal RNA
Rfam family: Bacterial small subunit ribosomal RNA
Source: RNAcentral